UGAACCCUUGGGUACCUUGGGGGUAACAUAGGCUAACAAUUCGGAAUUCUACGGGCAACGCAGGGCACUUUAGCUUUAGAGAAAAUAAGAAAGAAGACGACAAUUCCACAUCCGUUCUUUCGUACAAUCAAAGAAAAAUGCUAAACCAAAGGAAUGUAAUGCAGAGUCAAGCAACAGAAAAAUAUAGAGAAAACAUUAUAAAAAUUACACAAAACUUACAGGAAAAUACAGAAA
Molecule: long non-coding RNA, 234 nt
Organism: Eurytemora carolleeae
Lineage: Eukaryota; Metazoa; Arthropoda; Copepoda; Calanoida; Temoridae
Exons: 3
Source: RefSeq, a predicted model, not a curated record